AGAAGCGGGGGAUAACACCUGGAAACAGAUGCUAAUACCGCAUAACAACUUGGACCGCAUGGUCCGAGCUUGAAAGAUGGCUUCGGCUAUCACUUUUGGAUGGUCCCGCGGCGUAUUAGCUAGAUGGUGGGGUAACGGCUCACCAUGGCAAUGAUACGUAGCCGACCUGAGAGGGUAAUCGGCCACAUUGGGACUGAGACACGGCCCAAACUCCUACGGGAGGCAGCAGUAGGGAAUCUUCCACAAUGGACGAAAGUCUGAUGGAGCAACGCCGCGUGAGUGAAGAAGGGUUUCGGCUCGUAAAACUCUGUUGUUAAAGAAGAACAUAUCUGAGAGUAACUGUUCAGGUAUUGACGGUAUUUAACCAGAAAGCCACGGCUAACUACGUGCCAGCAGCCGCGGUAAUACGUAGGUGGCAAGCGUUGUCCGGAUUUAUUGGGCGUAAAGCGAGCGCAGGCGGUUUUUUAAGUCUGAUGUGAA
RNAcentral lists this ribosomal RNA (480 nucleotides) under Lactiplantibacillus plantarum. RNAcentral describes it as "bacterial SSU rRNA". It matches the Rfam family "Bacterial small subunit ribosomal RNA", at positions 132 to 598 of the family's 1533-position model. Lineage: Bacteria; Bacillati; Bacillota; Bacilli; Lactobacillales; Lactobacillaceae. The record is from RNAcentral.